RNAcentral lists this long non-coding RNA (837 nucleotides) under Homo sapiens (human). RNAcentral describes it as "HSALNT0290552". The record is from RNAcentral. Lineage: Eukaryota; Metazoa; Chordata; Mammalia; Primates; Hominidae.
CAUGGAGGGUCUCCACAGCAAAGGAGCUCAGCUUCUCCUGAAGGCGGUGGUCCCCGGGGCCAGGAUUAGAUUAGAUUUACAAGCUCCUCUGGCUAUAGAUUGAGGAUGAAUCGAAAGGGGCAAGACUAGAGGCAGGGAGCCCGGGAGGAGGCCAGGAAUCCAACAUCCCGGCACGGGCGAUGCAGACGGGGACAGCGUGGGGCACUUGCCCUCGUCUUGGGAUGGGCCAGGAGAGAGGACAUGAAGUCCCCAUUUCACCUAAGAAUGCGGAAGUGGGAGAAGGCAGGGAGGUGGCGAUGAAGCCAGCGCUGGAAGCCCAAGGCUGCCGGGCUGUCCCGCUGUUCAUGGCUGAUGGAAAGCGAACCCAAGCGUCCGUGCCCUCAGCUGCCGCCCGCCUGCUUCCCCACAUCUGCGCUGCCUCCAGCUAAUGAAAGUGUUACUCCACGAAGCAGCAAGGUAAAGAAACUGAGGCUUGGAGAGGCAAAAUGAUUCGGCUGAGGCCCCACACUAGGUUCCUGACAAGCGUCUGGCUUCUGGACCAGAGUUCACAUCCCAUCCCAUCAGGCUGGAAGAGACUGCGGGUGAACUGAAUGCCUCUCAACGUCCCUUUCCACCCCUGGUGGCCAGGCUCAUUAGGAGAAAGGAUGUCAGAAUCUCAGUGGAGGUGUGAGGAUUUUUCUCCCAAAGUCAUAAAGCGGAAGGCAUCCUGCCUGUUUAACUGGCAGCCCGUCUUCUGGCCUCACCUCCCUUCAGGUACUGCUUUUUUAUCUCCUCCUAAAAUGCGGCAGCCCUUAUCGUCCCAAUCUCAAAUUUCACUCCAUUUUUUUUAUUACACAA